RNAcentral lists this ribosomal RNA (477 nucleotides) under uncultured bacterium. RNAcentral's name for it is "partial 16S ribosomal RNA". It matches the Rfam family "Bacterial small subunit ribosomal RNA", at positions 29 to 507 of the family's 1533-position model. The record is from RNAcentral.
AUUGAACGCUGGCGGCAUGCCUUACACAUGCAAGUCGAACGGUAACAGGUUAAGCUGACGAGUGGCGAACGGGUGAGUCAUGUAUCGGAACGUGCCCAGUCGUGGGGGAUAACUGCUCGUAAGAGCAGCUAAUACCGCAUACGACCUGAGGGUGAAAGCGGGGGAUCGCAAGACCUCGCGCGAUUGGAGCGGCCGAUAUCAGAUUAGGUAGUUGGCGGGGUAAAGGCUCACCAAGCCGACGACCUGUAGCUGGCCUGAGAGGACGACCAGCCACACUGGGACGGGGACACGGCCCAGACUCCUGCGGGAGGCAGCAGUGGGGAAUUUUAGACAAUGGGCGCAAGCCUGGUCCAGCCAUGCCGCGUGCGGGAAGAAGGCCUUCGGGUUGUAAACCGCUUUUGUCAGGGAAGAAAAGGUUCUGGCUAAUACCUGGGACUCGUGACGGUACCUGAAGAAUAAGCACCGGCUAACUACGUG